RNAcentral lists this ribosomal RNA (506 nucleotides) under uncultured bacterium. Its description in RNAcentral is "partial 16S ribosomal RNA". It matches the Rfam family "Bacterial small subunit ribosomal RNA", at positions 29 to 523 of the family's 1533-position model. The record is from RNAcentral.
AUUGAACGCUGGCGGCAGGCCUAACACAUGCAAGUCGGGCGGUAGCACAGGAGAGCUUGCUCUCCGGGUGACGAGCGGCGGACGGGUGAGUAAUGUCUGGGAAACUGCCUGAUGGAGGGGGAUAACUACUGGAAACGGUAGCUAAUACCGCAUAACGUCGCAAGACCAAAGAGGGGGACCUUCGGGCCUCUUGCCAUCGGAUGUGCCCAGAUGGGAUUAGCUAGUAGGUGAGGUAAAGGCUCACCUAGGCGACGAUCCUUAGCUGGUCUGAGAGGAUGACCAGCCACACUGGAACUGAGACACGGGCCAGACUCCUACGGGAGGCAGCAGUGGGGAAUAUUGCACAAUGGGCGCAAGCCUGAUGCAGCCAUGCCGCGUGUAUGAAGAAGGCCUUCGGGUUGUAAAGUACUUUCAGCGGGGAGGAAGGUGUUGUGGUUAAUAACCGCAGCAAUUGACGUUACCCGCAGAAGAAGCACCGGCUAACUCCGUGCCGGCAGCCGCCGCCG